GAUUCAUGGUCUGGAAGCCAUACUAUUAAAAAGUUUUUACUAUUGUCUAGCAUCUUUGCCAGGACGGUAAAUCCUAGAUUUUGCAAGAGUGCUUCCUAAACAAUAAAUGUUUCUUUAUCCAAGGGGAUCAUACUUAUGCCAUGCUAAAUUGAGAGACAGAGAAGGAGGGAACAGAGAUGGACCAUUCCAUAGGGUCAGAUGUUUCAUAGAAGCCUAGAAACUCAGGAUUUGGGGAGCCAUGUUUUCAACCAUCCCCAUCCCAAAUACAAGUCCAUCUUUUUCUCCAGACAGAAAUUUAACACUGAGAAAACAGACCUAACAAAAACUUUAACACUAACAAAGAGAAAACAGACCUAAUAAAGAACUUAACCUUUUUUAGAGUUGCUUCAAAUUGAUAAUCAACUCUUUAGUUCUUUAGAACCUCAUUUUUUAAGUGAUGAAAGAGUCAUUAUAUGUUUGCAGGUAGACCUUCUGAAAUCACACUUUGCUUUGAAAUACACAUGUUUUUCUUAUCUUUUCCUAGACCUAUUAGUGCUUACUAAUUACUAUCAAAUUCCACUGUCCUUGCAGAUAUUUUUUCAGUCAUGCAUUUCCAUUGUGCCAGCUAGCAUACUCUCU
Molecule: long non-coding RNA, 618 nt
Filed under: Marmota monax (woodchuck)
Lineage: Eukaryota; Metazoa; Chordata; Mammalia; Rodentia; Sciuridae
Source: RNAcentral